CUGUGUAGCAACAGGUUCUCGCCUUCUGGUGAGGAUGCGCGAUGCACUCGUUGAGUGUUGUGCGCCUCAGAUGUUCCGGGCCAGGUCGCCAGUGCAUUCCGUCGGGACGGUCACCACGACCGGCACUAUCGUCUGUCUUUUGUGGUUAAACCGUGCGUGCUUGGUCCUUGUGGCUUUGUGCGUGCGGGACGGCAGGUAGCUCGUUGGUUUGUUCGCAGGCCUUCGGGUGAAAUAGCUGACUACAAUUUGACUGUGCGGUUUGUCGGGGACGGCGGCUUGAGGUGUGUGCGUGUGUGCUAGUUUGCUGGCGUAUCCGUGUCUGGUUGCUCAGUUGCUCACCUAGUGGGCCAGGCGGCGACUGGGAUGCGUUCAGUGGGCGGUCGCGCACGUGACACCGUUUGAGGGCCAAUAGUCUGUGGUGUUGCGGUAGACGAUCCAUCCGACCCGUCUUGAAACACGGACCAAGGAGAAUAACAUGUGCGCGAGUCAUUGGGCGUUACGAAACCCAAAGGCGUAGUGAAAGUGAAGGUUUGACUUGUUCAGACUGAGGUUAGGUCGACCCGCUGAAUUUAAGCAUAUCCCUAAGCAGAGGAAAAGAAACUAACGAGGAUUCCCGUCCCAUGACUUUGGCUUUUGAUUCAUUGAUCGUACAGUCGGGGCGGAGCAAGAGCACACACGUUGUGACCCGAAAGAUGGUGAACUAUGCUUGUGAAGGUUGAAGCCAGAGGAAACUCUGGUGGAGGAUCGCAGCGAUUCUGAAGUGCAAAUCGAUCGUCAGACAUGAGUAUAGGGCGAAAGACUAAUCGAACCAUCUGGUAGCUGAUUCCCUCCGAAGUUUCCCUCAGGAUAGCAAAGUGGGUGGUAGACUCCAUCCAAGGCUAAAUACAACACGAGUCCGAUAGCGAACAAGUACCGUGAGGGAAAGUUGAAAAGUACUCUGAAGAGAGAGUAAACAGUGCGUGAAGCCGUUCAGAGGUAAACGGAUGGAGUUGAACUGUGAGUUCCGACGGUUCAGCUGGUGACUUUGGUUGAGCUUGGUCAAGUUGGUUGGGCUCUGGGGUCUGUGUAGCAACAGGUUCUCGCCUUCUGGUGAGGAUGCGCGAUGCACUCGUUGAGUGUUGUGCGCCUC
Molecule: ribosomal RNA, 1129 nt
Filed under: Nicolla skrjabini
Lineage: Eukaryota; Metazoa; Platyhelminthes; Trematoda; Plagiorchiida; Opecoelidae
Description: eukaryotic LSU rRNA
Rfam family: Eukaryotic large subunit ribosomal RNA
Source: RNAcentral